AUUGAACGCUGGCGGCAUGCCUUACACAUGCAAGUCGAACGGUAACAGGCCUUUCGGGGUGCUGACGAGUGGCGAACGGGUGAGUAAUGCAUCGGAACGUGUCCAGUGGUGGGGGAUAACCCCGAGAAAUCGGGGCUAAUACCGCAUGAGCCCGAGAGGGGAAAGCGGGGGACCUGAUGAGGGCCUCGCGCGACUGGAGCGGCCGAUGUCCGAUUAGCUAGUUGGUGGGGUAAAGGCCCACCAAGGCGACGAUCGGUAGCGGGUCUGAGAGGACGGCCCGCCACACUGAGACUGAGACACGGCCCAGACUCUACGGGAGGCAGCAUG
RNAcentral lists this ribosomal RNA (327 nucleotides) under uncultured bacterium. RNAcentral describes it as "bacterial SSU rRNA". It matches the Rfam family "Bacterial small subunit ribosomal RNA", at positions 28 to 355 of the family's 1533-position model. The record is from RNAcentral.